This is a non-coding RNA of Rattus norvegicus (Norway rat), 7424 nucleotides long. NCBI's taxonomy places the organism in Eukaryota, Metazoa, Chordata, Mammalia, Rodentia, Muridae. The record is from RefSeq and is a predicted model, not a curated record.
ACCCGAGUCACCGACAAGGAGGAGGGAGCGCUUAGACGAUUGCCCGGACCCGCGCACGCGCAACUGGAGCCAGAGCCUCCUCCAGGCCACGCCCCCAUCGGCUGCAAGAUGCCGACAGCCACACUGCGCAGGCGCCUUCCAGGAGGCCGAGCUAUCCCGCGCGUUGCCGUCACUCAGGAUAGCAACUAGAGGCUCUGAGCUCUGGUGCAGAGAAAUGCUUCCUUCUCUGCGGGUCGCCAUGGCAACGGAACUGUGUUUUGGAACCCGAAGGUUUACCUUGGGUAGAUGCUAGUUCCUAGGAGAGACUGCAUUAAAAUUGGAGCUCAGUGGAUAGCUUGAGUUCAAAACCAAAGAAAGGAAACGAGUUAGUAUCAUCACUUAACGUGUUUACAUAUUAAUAAGGCAAGAAAAAAAAUCACCCGGUGUAGUGCCACAAGCCUUUGAUCCCAGCUCUCGGGAGUCAAGAGGGAAGCAGAUCUCUAAGUUCAAGCUCACCCUAGUCUACAUAGAGAGUUCCAGGUCAGCCAGUGCUACCAGAGGAGGGUUUCUCAGGCUUGGGUUACUCCCUUGCGACUAGACUGUGGGUAGCCACAGCUGCUGUGAGUUCCUAAGUGUAACAGUCAAGUCAUGUUUAAAGGACAGCACUUUACCCAUCCUGGAGCUCUUAUGGUCUUUUCACCCCCUCUCCUGUAAAGUUCCCUGAGCCUUGGGGAGCAGGUGUUGUAUAGAUGGCCCAUCUAUUGCUGAGUGCCCGGUCACUUCUCAGAACUUUGAACAGACAUGAGUCUGCAUUAACCACCAUCCACUGCGCCAUUGGAGAGUAUAGGAUGAUGUCAUUACGCAGGUGAAGGCAAGUACAAGAUAGAACGAGGCCUGCCAUUGGAUGAGAAGGAAGGAUGGGCGGGAGAAAAGACGAGGAACAAUACACCUUCCAGAAUCUUCAACCUCAAAUCACAUCACAUGGGGGAUUAGGUCUUCGGCGCGUGAAUUUGACAGUGGGAAGAAAUUCAAUCCAGAGAAAAUAAAGAGGAGCCAGGAUACAGAGGACCAUGAAGAUUAGACUUCCACCCCCACUCUGCCGCAAUAGGAAAUCCUCACCAGACAAAGGAAUAACCAUUUUUGUUCUUAAAGACUUAGGGCCAAUAGAGAAAAAGUCAAACAAAUUUCCCAAAGGAAGUUAGGAACCAUCAUGGUACUUUAUUUUUAACUGGAAUCAAUGCCCAACGUGUUAAAGCACUGGCCUUGGGGAGUUGUAGUGUUAAGAGCUCACGUAGUACCGUGGCCCACUGGGAUCCACAUGACUCCUGUCGGUGAGUGGUGAAGCACAGCAGCUCCUGCAGUUGAGUGCCUGGGCUGAACUCUCCACAGCCUAGCCUUGUAACCCUGGGCAAGGAAAGACCAAGGUGGUGUUAGGAUUACCAGACACCGCCAAGUGCUCACUUGGUAGGUGCUAGCUAUGCCUAGCAAAAAAAAAAAACUAGAAGGGGGAGGAGGAAGAUUUGGAAGCUAGAGUGCUAAAUUCAGACCUCCUUUGCAGAGUUUUCUCUCUCUGCUACUUUUCCUUAAUAUAUUCAAAGUCAUCAGUAGAGCAGGGAAGGGAAGAAAGGUAGGGGAGGAAAGAAGGAGAAGGAGAGGAGCUGGAGGAGAGGAGAGAGAAGAUGACUGAGACCAAAUGACUUCGUACCUGCCACUGAGACUCUGUCUGCUCUGUCUGCAUGCUGACUUUAACAAUUUGGACUGGUUUCAAGGGGAGAUGGACAGGCUGUACACUGCAGAACAAGUGUAUCAUAACCUUGGAGGCGUUCACAAGCUGGUAGAUGAGGCAGGAAGGCCACAAAGCCAUUUUGGCUUCAUUACUACUCAUUAUUAGGAAUCAUCAUGGUGCUUUAUUUCUAACAUUAAUGUAAGUUUAAAAACACAGGAAGUAAUUCUGUUCAGUGUGUUUGGGUACAAACAGACACAGACUUGCUAUCCAGACAUGAAUAAGGUAGGUAUCCAGCAAGCUUGAGAGAAGAGUGUCUUUCAGGAAAGUUCAGGGACUCGGUCCUAGGAAAGGGGUGCAAAGGACAUCCGUUGGAUAUGUAAUGUCUUAUUCUUUUUAUUAAGCCCUGAAGCAAUAGCAAAUAUCAGUACUUUAAAAUUUGGGGAAGUGGAUACAGCAGUGUUAUAUUUUUCUCUUCACUCUGUAUAAAAAAAAUACUUCCUAAAGCUUUAAAACAUGAACAGAAAGAGCAUGUCCUCUGUUCCUAAAUCCAUCCGAACUCCAACCCAUUGUACAAAUAGUUUCUUUGUUCAGCUAAACCACACACACACACACACACACACACACACACACACACACACACACACACACAAAUAAUUUUCAGGAAUGCACACCCAUCUCGUAUCCACCUUAAAAGGAGAUUUUGUGACUAUUAAAAUGGACUAUAUGUUGGUGAAUGUUCACCAAAAUACACUUAAAAUUCUGAACCGUCUGUAUUGAACUGGGUUUGUAUUUCACAUCAUUAAUGGGCAACACUAACACCACGUUACAUCUGGGGAAAGUGUUUUGUGGUUAGCACGUUGCUGGCAUAGAAGCUGGCAGUAGACAAGCAGUUGGUUUUAUCUCGGAGGCCGAGUCCUGAUGAAAGAUGGUGGCUGCUUAGGAAAAUUCAGGGGAAAGACAGUGAAGUCAAAUAUGGACCAAUCCAGCAGCAGAGACUGACUAGGGAGCAGUGUCAAGGGCAGGGUAGUGCAGUGGUAUUCUAGGUGGCAUGCAUAGUCCCAAGAGAUUUUUGAUUCUCUUUCUGCCACUCUCUCGGACCCCUUUCUGUCUCCCUCCCCCUAUGCCAUGUAUCUUGUGCUUUCCAAGAUUUUAUUCUUGCUCAUGGUGAGUCCAUGUGCUGAGGAGACAUUCCCACCCCCACCAGGUCAGAUGUGACUCCUCUUUCUCCCUACAGUGGGAAUGUGGCAUUUGUCUCUAAGUAUUCCAAUUCUUUGUUCCCCUUCUAUUAGGCUGCAGUGAGACUGUGGGCUUUGAAAGGACACGGGGAAUAUUGAUCUAAGCACUCCUGGCUUGUGGCGCAUAGUAAGCAAUCAAUAAAUGUUUGUUAAAUGAAGGAAUGAUUUAAUGAAUGCUGUCCUCGUUUGGCAGACAAGGAAACAAGCCGAGAAGUUGAGAGUUUUCUCAAGGUUACCUUUCCUUCAGAAGUAGGAUAGACAGAUAUGUUCUCAGCAUUUCAGCCAGCUCCGCCCCCUUCUUUACUUGUCUGCAGCAAAGCUUCUUGGAAAUUCUCCAUGCUGUUCUGUGUCCUUUCUAUUUCUCCGAAGACUCCCCCAAUCAGCUAUCCAACUCUCCUAUUUACUGUCACCGUGGCUUCUGCACAUCUAAGUAUGGUGGAUGAGCCUUGGGACUCAACUUUCUUUGAUCCUUCCAUUGUCUUUGAUACAGUUGAUUUCUUGCUUGCCACAGAUAAUAGUACUUUACUUGGAGUCCCAAACACCAGCCCUAAGUCUCUUCUCCUCCUUACUGACUCUCUAGUCCAGUCUUCUUCCCUCCCGCUAUGCAGCCCAGACUAACCUAAGACUUGCUAGGUAGCCCAGGCUUGUUUCAAACUCUUGGUCUUCCUGCUUCAACCACCUGAGUGUUGGGAGCAUAGACACAUACCCUAGAGCUGGCUCUGAUUUCUUAGUAUUAGAGCGAACCAGUGCCCAUUCCGUGGCCCUUGUCUUAUGGAUUUUACUGCUGUGAUAAAACAAUAUGACCCAAAUCAACUUGUAGAGGAAAGAGUUUAUUCCAGCUUAUCAUAAUCCAUCACCGAGGGAAGCCAGGGCAGGAACUCAAACAGGGCAAGAAGCCAGAGGCAGAAGCCAUGGACCAGCGUUGCUUACUGGCUUGCUCAGCCUGCUUUCUUAGAGGACCACCAGCUGCAGCAUAGGGAUAGAACUGUCCACAAUGGGCUGGCGGUCCCUCCCACACAAAUCAUCGAUCAAGAAAAUGCAUUAUAGUCCAAUGUGGUGGGGGAAUUUUCUCAAUUAAGGUCUCCUCUUCCAAAAUGACUGUAGCUUAUGUCAAGUUAACAUAAAGCUAGCCAGCAUAGCCCUCUUCCUUGUGCCUUCCCUGAGAGACCUCAUCCAUUCACAAGCCUUAAAAACCACCUAAGCACCAGUGACCACAAAGUGUGUCUUUAGCUUAGAUCUGUCUUUGAUCAUCCAGUCUCUUCUUGCAGUAUCCAACUUCCUACUCAGUAUCUUCAUUAGGAUGCUUUCUUGGUCUGUUUUGUGUUGGUAUAAAAGAACUGAGGAUAGCAGGAGGCUCUGAAACUCCAGAGCCCAUCCCCAGUGAUGCACUUUCUCCAGUAAGGCCACCCAUCCCAAGUGUCCUCAAACAUCAUCACCAACUGUGGACCAAGUAUUCAAAUGUGGGAGAAUAUGAGGGAAUUAUAGUCUAAGACACAUGGUUAUGGUACCUACUUGGUGAGGGCCUCAUACUGCCUCAACUCAGUGAAAAACAGAAGGGGUCAUGUGAUAAAAAUGUGAAAGGUGAAUUUUCUUUGUCACAACCCUGAAGCUACUAAUACAAGUCCACAAGAAUAAGAAAUCAUUUGUAUAAGAAAAGCGUGGAUCCAUUCAAGACCUGUGUUCCACCGGGUAUGUAGUAGUUUGAAUGAGCUGUCCCUCGUGUUCUCCCACAUUUGAAUACUUGGUCCACAGUUGGUGAUGAGGUUGGAGGAGGCUUAGGAUGGGAGGCCUUCCUGGAGAAAGUGCAUCACUUGGGGUGGGCUCUGAGGUUUCAAAGCCUCCUGCCAUCCCCAGUUCUUCCCUUCUGCUUUCUGUCUGUAGUUCAAGAUGAGUUCACUCAGCUUCUGCUGUAGUGUCCCUGCCUCACCAUCUUCACCAUCUUCAGUGUAGGCCCAUAGGCAUAUACCAGCUAUGUCUGGCAUCAACUCAAUUUAAGAUGCCAGGGAAGUAGCUGCUAUGAUUUGAAUAUGAUCCGUUACUGCCUAAACUUAUAUUGAGUCUUAUUAGUUCUUCCAUGGGAAUUGAGGGAUGGGACCCUGCAUUAGUUUCUUAUUCUGUAGCCUACUAAAGCAUCGGGACCAAGACAGCUUGUAGAAGGAAGAGUUUAUUUUAGGCUUAGACUUCCAAAUGGACAAGAACACCAUCAUAUCAGGGAAUCACGAUGGUAAGCAUGGGCAGGAAGCAGGAACAUUACAGGUUCGAGGCCAGCGUGGGCCACAUAGAGACUUGAAUGCCAACCUGAGCAUUAUAGUAAGAUUCUGUCUGAAAAAUGUAAAGGCCAGGAGGGCCUAAAAUGGUACAGCACUUGCAAGACCCUGUUUCUUCAUACACAGACACACAGACACACAGACACACAGACACACACACACACACACACACACACACACACAGAGAGAGAGAGAGAGAGAGAGAGAGAGAGAGAGAGAGAAAUCUAAAUGCAUGUUCCUCUUUCACCUACAGCCUCCUAUGUAUCAACUACUAGAGAUUGGAUGAGAUAGUAACUCUCUCCCAGUUGGCCACACUUUGCUGUCAUUACACAUACUAGUGCAUUUGGAACAUUUAUUUUAAACUAUGGCUGUCCCACUAAUGCCCUUUCUUAAUCGUGAUUUUUAAGAUUUUUAUUUUAGCUCCCAGGUGCUAAGUCUGCAAACAUUUUGAAAUGUGAGUUUGUUCAGUCCCGUUCAUAUGGACAACACUUACCACAGUAAAAAAGAUUUAGAAAUGAGAGUAACACGGCUUUAGUUCUCUCCUUGACCUUUCUCUUCGCCUCUUGGCUCAUGAAAUCCAUCACUGAAGUUUUCUGCUUUUGCUUCGUUGUGUUUCUGCUGUGUCUUGCUGAGCUCACGUUCUUAGUAAUUUCCUCUAAGCUCGAAGCCAUGGCAGCAAAGUCUUCCAAGGCUCCUCAGGUUCCUUCUCCUCCAUCUCCCAUCUCUCUUUGGUCUGCUCUGCCCGGGUUUUUUUGUUUGUUUGUUUGUUUGUUUGUUUGUUUGUUUUAAAGUCUGCUCUUUCUCAAGGGGACCACGUUGUUCUGUUCAUCUGACUUGUGUUUCACCCCAACAGCUCUGCUCAGUUCCUUUUACUCUGUCAAGGGGAAAACAGUGAAUUCCUAUUCUCUUUGGCUAAGCCCUUCAUUCCUUCCAGUGAGUAUUUUGAUGCCUGGAGAUUGCUUUAUAUCUGCCCCUUAUAGCCCAAGGGCAGAAACGUGGGAAGAGCUCAGCAAACACCCUGAAGCCUUUGGUGUAAUUUACCCUCACCACCCCCCAAGAUGUUAGUGAUGUCUACUUUUGAGAUAUCCCCUUGUCUUAGUAUCAACUUGACACAGCUUAUUGUCACAAGACAAGAGAGUCUCAAUUGCAGGUCCAGUGGGCCUGCAAGCACGUCUGCCAAGGACUGUCUUGAUUGCUAAUGGAUGCAGGAGAGUCUGGCCCACUGCGGGAGGUUCUAAUCCCUAAGCAGGUGGCCCUACUGCUGAGCCAGCAAGUUUGCUUUGCAUGGUUUCUGCUCCAGGUUCCUCCCCUGACUCUCCUCAGUGACAGACAAUGACCUAUAAUUUGUAAGCCAAAUAAACCCUUUCUCCCUUAAGUUGAUUUCUGUCAGGGUAUUUUAGCUCAGCAACAGAAAUGAAGCUGGGAUGUCCAGCAACAUUGUAGAUAGCUUAUGCAAGUGUAUCUCAUGAUGUUCACACAAGGAUGUGCUAACUUCAUGACAGAUUUUUUAAGAAUGUAUCACUUUAGAUAUGACUGCAUAUAUACAUACAUGCACACACACGUGUAUAGGUGUCAAUGUCUUCUAGCAUUCUUAGGGACAUAAGAAGGGGGUGAGGGGGUGAUGGAUUGUGGUGACCCCAACUACACACAAUGACAGGACAUGCGAAGCGAGCUUUGGAUUUUUUUGGAGGGAGAGCAAUCUCACUAAUGCUUUUCUGACCUGUUCUCUACUGUUUUCUCAGCAAACAGCACAAGCAUCCUUAACCCAGAGAGGCUUGUGUUGUGCUUGGCAUUUGAUAGUAAAUGUGGACUGCUUAGGAAGCAUCCCUACGUGCAGUCUGGAAGGAAGACACUCCCUAGGAUGAGUGAACCAAGGAAAGCGGGUCAUACUGAAUGUGCUCAUAUCGUGUGCCCAUAACCUCCUAAACACAGUGGCUGAAACAGAGACAGACGCUGCUCUUCACCAACUCAGAGACUCUCCCCUGCAAGAGCUCUAAAUUGUAGUUCAGAGACUUGCAUUGCUCUGCCAUGGGCUUGAAAUAAAAAAUAAUUGGAAGCUAUGGGGAAACCACCAUCUUCUGCUGUUGACUGAUGAGUAGAAAUGGCUGGAUGAGGAAGAGAAAAAUAAGAGACGGAGACACACAGAAAGAUUGGCUGUGGUUCCUCCCCUGGGUUUGGAGAAAUUCAAUAAAAGCAUUAGGAUUCUGUCGCUCUGAA